CCUACGGGUGGCAGCAGUGAGGAAUAUUGGUCAAUGGACGCAAGUCUGAACCAGCCAUGCCGCGUGCAGGAAGACGGCUCUAUGAGUUGUAAACUGCUUUUGUACGAGGGUAAACGCCGUUACGCGUAUCUGUUUGAAAGUAUCGUAUGAAUAAGGAUCGGCUAACUCCGUGCCAGCAGCCGCGGUAAUACGGAGGAUCCAAGCGUUAUCCGGAUUUAUUGGGUUUAAAGGGUGCGUAGGCGGUCGGUUAAGUUAGAGGUGAAAUCCCGUGGCUCAACUUCGGAAUUGCGGCGGAUACUGUGCGGCUAGAGAGUAGUUGCGGUAUGCGGAAUGCAUGGUGUAGCGGUGAAAUGCUUAGAGAUCAUACAGAACACCGAUUGCGAAGGCAGCUUACCAAGGUACUUCUGACGUUGAGGCACGAAGGCGUGGGUAGCAAACAGGAUUAGAUACCCGAGUAGUC
This 460-nucleotide ribosomal RNA is filed under the name uncultured bacterium. Its description in RNAcentral is "partial 16S ribosomal RNA". It matches the Rfam family "Bacterial small subunit ribosomal RNA", at positions 338 to 795 of the family's 1533-position model. The record is from RNAcentral.